AGGGCCAGCGGGAGAAGGAGGAGGAGGAAAAGAGAAGGAAAAGGGGAAAGAGGAGGAGCGCGCGGUAUGCAGGGGCGGUGAAGCGCGGGUCGUCCCUCCCGCUCCAGCCGUCUCCCUCUGCCUCUCCCGCUCUGCCCCACCCCGUCCGCCGGGCCGCGAGGGUCGUCCCGGGUCCGGGAAGGCCGAGGAGAAGGAGGAAAAGCCUGUCCGGUGCUGGCCUGGCCUCCAGCGGCUGGCGAGGCCCCUGUCCGAGUGGGACGGACGCACUCGGGUCUUCCCGUGGCUCUUUCACAGAAUCCCAGGAUAUUUGAUGUUAGAAGGAACCUCUGGAGAUCAUCCAGUCCAACCCCAGCCCAGUCAGGGUCUUCUGGAGCAGGUGACACAGGGACGUGUCCAGAUAUCCUGUAGCAUGGCAGGUGAAGAAGAUUUCUUUUUGGAAGAAAAAAGAUUCAAGCAGCACUGUGAAGAAUUUGUUAAGCAUUCACAGCAGAUAGGAGAUGGCUGGGAGUGGAGAACUAGCAAGGACCUUGGUGAUGGUUAUCUUAGUAAAACACAUUUCCAAGUAAGAAAUAGACACAUCCCACAAGAUCUCAAGGAGAAAACCAAUGAUAACAUUGAACAAAUGUUACUUGCACAUGUUGAAGAGUCUUUGGAUGAUUCUCAAGUAGCUGGAGUUUGUACAACAGAAGAAGUGAUUCGUUAUGAGUAUCAUGUCUUGUACUCCAGCAGCUACCAAGUACCUGUGCUUUAUUUCAGGGCAUGCUUUUUAGAUGGAAGACCUUUAACUCUGGAGGAAAUAUGGGGAAGUGUUCAUGCAUGUUACCAGGAUCGUCUGCAGGAGGGGCCCUGGGACACCAUCACACAGCAGAUAUUCAGAAGUGGAAUUGCAGAUAUUGCAUGCCUUUCUCCUGAACAGCUUACUUACAGCUUGGAGCACCCCAUCCUUGGGCAGCCCUUUUUUGUUCUGCACCCCUGCAGAACUAAUGAAUUCAUCUCCACUGUGCUGACUGGCCCAUGGAAACACAACAGGCACAAAAAUUACAUUAUUCUGUGGCUCAGUACUGUAGGCCCAGUUGUGGGUCUCAGUGUGCCUCUGAGUUAUGCAAAAGUAGCACCUGAGCAGAAUUCAAGCACUGAUUCAGCUGAAAGCAAUGAGAAUUUGUGCUAAGAGAGAAGUGCUUGGACAUUGCUGACACCCUCCAUGAAUGCCAGGAGGCCCCUGAUGUCCUGUGGUCUUCCUCAGAGCUCUGAACUGAUGGACAGGUGAUGGUGAGCUGCUGCAGGCUCCCCUCGGGGUGAAGUCAAAGGGAUCCUUCCUGGCUGGUAGACAAUGCCGGUGUGGAAAUGAUUGUUCACGGCUCUUUCUCUGGCAAGAAGUGGUCAGAGAAUUACAGUGGAAGACUUAAUUGUUGGCUGCAGUUGUGGCAACACCUCUGCAGCACCACCAAGACCUGAACUCCCUUGUGACUGCAUUAGCCCUUGAAGUCAUUUUUCUACCACCUCCUGUGCUUGUGGCCUUGGAGAGGCUGCACAGAGAGGCACAAGCCUGUGGUUCCUUAAUAAAGGGUAGUGUUGCUGGGUUUGGAUCUACUAAAAACUAUCUCUAGAAAACCUGUGAGGUGGCAAAUGCAAAACAUACACAGCAAAGUGCCUGUGGGACGUGGUGUGAGCUUGUGGCACCCAGUGCAUGGGCUGAGACUGCUUCACCUGGGAACCACCUUCUGCACCACAGCCUGAGGGAUGGACCCCCUCAUGUCCCACACCACACGGAAUCCUCAUCCUGGGACUGAGAAACGCUUCUCUGAGAAUAUUGCAGGGAACAAACAGGAUCGGAAUUGUAACAAACAGGGAACUUGGAGCCUCCCUGUGAGUGAGCACCUUCAGUUCUGGAGUUCAGGUGGCUGAUGCAGCUGUGUGAGAACAUCUGGCUCUUCCAUGGCCUGCAGAGGAAGCUCUGCCAUUCCCUGUGGGAAUGACUGUUCCACUCAAUUAGUGUUUCUCAUUGUACUCCUGGCUGUUCACAGGUUUAUUCCCUACCCUGCUGUUUGGAGAGUUGCAUGGUGGUGCUGCCACUGAAAACCACAUUGCAGGUAACUUCCACACAACCCAUCCUGGCUCCUCUUCCCAUCUCAUUUUAUUUGUAGUGUAAAACAGAGCCCUGGGAUGGAACCACAGGUUUUACUUUACACGUUCAGCAAUGUGUCACUUGCACCUAGAGCCCAGUGUGUGCCACAUGAGGGCUGGGAACCUGGUAUGCAUCAGGUUCCAGAUUCUAGGCUUUAAACUUACAUCAUGUGUCUUUAUUGGACAAGAAAUACAGAGUGCAGUCUCUAAAAUUCCAUUGGUGUGAAUUGUUUUGCCAGCCAUUUGGAAUUAAUAAUGAAAGCACAUCAUUUAUCUUGUUCUGGAUCAUAACAACCUGAAAAAGCCAUUUUUCCAUGUGAGAUUUAUAAAAUGCAGCCAACAGCUAAGUUGCUUUUUUUAACACUUCUGAUAGCACAUGCUUGGUAAUUGCAUCAGUGGCCCACUUUUAAAUUUCAGCGAGACUUAAACAGGAGGAAAAACCAACAAAAAACAGAUAACAGCAGUUUUAAGAGCUGCUAAAUGUUCUUCCCUGCUCUGUGAUCUUCAUUUGUGAUACCCUGGAACAGAGGAGUGGGAGCAGCCAGCCUUCAAAAAGUGGAAUUUGUAUAUGGAGGGAAGUAAAUAUUUUUUCUCUUACAUGGAAAAAGUCUCAGUGACCAUUCUCACUGAUUCUAAACCUCUUAACAGCAUAAACAACAAGGUAACAGAGCAGUGUCAUCAUCAGCAGCAAUAUUUCUCUGAAAUUUCUCUAGAAAACCAAAAUUCAGCUCAGUUACAGAUACACUGAGCUUAGAUAGAGGAAGAAAUACAGGAUAACAUAAAUAUUUGUGAUUGAGAAGAGAUCCUGUUUGGAUGUCUCCUUUUUAAUGGCUGAAGUAGGUAAUUGGGAGGUAGGGACCCAAUUUACUGUUUUACAUUUAUGCUUUGAUGACUUAGGAUAUUUUUAACAGAAUUUUUAUGUACCAAAAUUCUGAUUUUUUAAAAUUUUUUAAAUCAAGUGAAUUGUGGCACUGUUUUGUGAUUUUACUUACCAAAUCUGAUGAAUAUUCUUACAUCUGAACUUGGGGUUUGUCUACAUGCGUUAUCUGCUUACGAAGAGAAAAUUUCCAGUUCCAGAGAGUUUUGUACAUUUGCUCAGUUGCUCAUCCUUGCUAAUCUGGGAAGAUACAUUGAGAACCUUUGCUUCUGGGGACUUCUUUGAAGAGAACAGACUCUUGUAACCCUUGGUUACAGGAAUCAGCAAUAAUUAUUAUUUUUAUGUAUUCACUUAAGCCAAAAAAUGUGUUUUCCUGUGUAAUGCAGCUGCUCACUUACCUACAUAAUCCUUCAUUUGUGUCAGCAUGACCAGGUAAGAAUUCAACCUCCUGCUGGGAGGUUUGAGAUUGGUUGGUUUUGGUUACUAACAGGAACAUUCCUUUCCAUGCAGUAAAUGUCAAACUAGUUAGUUACAGCUAAGUACAGUGAUGUAAUCAAUUCUUGUUGUAACUCCAUGAAUUUCACCAAAACUGUCUCAGUAACUUUUUUCCCCCCCUUUUUGCUGUGGUGAUGGUUUCAUGAGUUUGUUUGGACAUCUGUGUUUAUAUUACAUACAUGUAAAUUCAAUACCAGCACAAAGAAAGGAUGUUUGCUCUUCCCUCUGAACGGUGAACUUAAAAUUGUUUCCUCAAAAAUUCUCUCUUCUAGA
Corapipo altera (White-ruffed manakin) is the source of this 3769-nucleotide RNA transcript. It is a transcript of the gene named autophagy related 10, with no coding region annotated. The record is from RefSeq and is a predicted model, not a curated record. The transcript has 10 exons. Lineage: Eukaryota; Metazoa; Chordata; Aves; Passeriformes; Pipridae.